GGGAUAUUGGUCAAUGGGGGGAACCCUGAACCAGCCAUGCCGCGUGAGGGAAUAAGGCCCUACGGGUCGUAAACCUCUUUUGCCGGGGGAUAAGGACGCCCAUGCGUGGGUGUUUGAAGGUACCCGGAGAAUAAGCAUCGGCUAACUCCGUGCCAGCAGCCGCGGUAAUACGGAGGAUGCGAGCGUUAUCCGGAUUUAUUGGGUUUAAAGGGUGCGCAGGCGGGCUGUUAAGUCAGCGGUGAAAGUUCCCGGCUCAACCGGGUCAGUGCCGUUGAUACUGACGGUCUUGAAUGCGGUCAAGGCCGGCGGAAUGUGGCGUGUAGCGGUGAAAUGCAUAGAUAUGCCACAGAACACCGAUAGCGAAGGCAGCUGGCCGGGCCUGCAUUGACGCUCAGGCACGAAAGCGUGGGGAUCGAACA
Molecule: ribosomal RNA, 419 nt
Filed under: uncultured bacterium
Lineage: Bacteria
Description: bacterial SSU rRNA
Rfam family: Bacterial small subunit ribosomal RNA
Source: RNAcentral